AUAUUAGUGGUUUAGUAGAAAAAUUCUUGCCUUCCAUGCAGAAGACCUGGGUUCGAUUCCCAGCCAGUGCA
Molecule: transfer RNA, 71 nt
Filed under: Loxodonta africana (African savanna elephant)
Lineage: Eukaryota; Metazoa; Chordata; Mammalia; Proboscidea; Elephantidae
Rfam family: tRNA
About the family: Transfer RNA (tRNA) molecules are approximately 80 nucleotides in length. Their secondary structure includes four short double-helical elements and three loops (D, anti-codon, and T loops). Further hydrogen bonds mediate the characteristic L-shaped molecular structure. tRNAs have two regions of fundamental functional importance: the anti-codon, which is responsible for specific mRNA codon recognition, and the 3' end, to which the tRNAs corresponding amino acid is attached (by aminoacyl-tRNA synthetases). tRNAs cope with the degeneracy of the genetic code in two manners: having more than one tRNA (with a specific anti-codon) for a particular amino acid; and 'wobble' base-pairing, i.e. permitting non-standard base-pairing at the 3rd anti-codon position.
Source: Rfam by way of RNAcentral